ACUUGAGACAGCCGGUAGAGGAGUCACAAGAGUAGGUACCUUUCCAUGAGCUCACCUCUGUUCCACUCCCAUCUCAUAAAGGGUGUGACAGAUACUUCACAGAAGGCAAGGAGAAAACAGGUCAGAAGUAUGUUAUUGGGGGCUUAGCACUGAUUUUGGUUCUGACAAGCUGGCCACUCAGAGACAGCAGUAGCUAUGUCUGUCUCAGUAUGUGGUAGACCAUGCUGUUGGGCCCAUAUAUAUAUAGCCUCCAUGCCUGCCACUGGGGCUACUUCAUUCACGUACCCACUGUGUCAGUUCUGGGAUGACUAAAAUCAACUGGGUCAUCAUGAGUGAAGUCUUGAGCCACUGAGCCACUACCACCUUGUGCCAAAUACUAUCUGUGCCCUGCCUGCCAACCAGGAUGACAACCCUUCACCUGCCAGGUGCCUUUGAGAGCCUGUGUUCCAGGUCAGGACUCAGAGAUGGAG
Molecule: long non-coding RNA, 470 nt
Filed under: Homo sapiens (human)
Lineage: Eukaryota; Metazoa; Chordata; Mammalia; Primates; Hominidae
Description: HSALNT0044963
Source: RNAcentral